CUUUCCUGUGAUGAUGAUUGACGGAAUAAUAUAGGCCAAAACGCCAGAGAGAAAUCCUCCAGUUUUCCUCAGAAAUUGUGCCAUGGAAUCUUUUCCACCUCCUCCAAAGGUCAACACUACUGAUAUGUAGCACCUCUUCAGUAUUUCACCAAUACAUCAGUCAUGAUCUGUGCACUCAAGUCCUGAUCCCACAAUUUUCAAGCAUCUAAGGUUUCUUCACAUUCUACACCUCUCCACGGCUGAUAGCUAAAUCGGAUAGCUUUCUCCCAGACCUCUGCUUCUACCACUGCCUCCUGACCAUCUGCUGUAAAGACCACAAGGUUCAAGCAUAGACUUCCUGCUCUUAUAGUCUAUGACCUGGCCUCCUUCACCGCCGCUCCCUCACCACCAGACGCCUGGAGGAAGAACGCCUCAUCUUAAA
Chiloscyllium plagiosum (whitespotted bambooshark) is the source of this 421-nucleotide long non-coding RNA. RefSeq lists it as uncharacterized. The record is from RefSeq and is a predicted model, not a curated record. NCBI's taxonomy places the organism in Eukaryota, Metazoa, Chordata, Chondrichthyes, Orectolobiformes, Hemiscylliidae.